Molecule: non-coding RNA, 70 nt
Organism: Schistosoma mansoni
Lineage: Eukaryota; Metazoa; Platyhelminthes; Trematoda; Strigeidida; Schistosomatidae
Source: Rfam
UCUGUAACUCCGCCUGUAGCUCUUCUAGAGUUACUGACGGUUCCAAGCCCGAGUAAAGGAGAAGGGUUGA